RNAcentral lists this ribosomal RNA (586 nucleotides) under uncultured bacterium. RNAcentral describes it as "partial 16S ribosomal RNA". It matches the Rfam family "Bacterial small subunit ribosomal RNA", at positions 355 to 937 of the family's 1533-position model. The record is from RNAcentral.
UGGGGAAUAUUGGACAAUGGGCGCAAGCCUGAUCCAGCCAUGCCGCGUGUGUGAAGAAGGCCUUCGGGUUGUAAAGCACUUUUGUCCGGAAAGAAAUCCUGUCGGCUAAUACCCGGCGGGGAUGACGGUACCGGAAGAAUAAGCACCGGCUAACUUCGUGCCAGCAGCCGCGGUAAUACGAAGGGUGCAAGCGUUACUCGGAAUUACUGGGCGUAAAGCGUGCGUAGGUGGUUUGUUAAGUCUGAUGUGAAAGCCCUGGGCUCAACCUGGGAACUGCAUUGGAUACUGGCUUACUAGAGUGCGGUAGAGGGUGGCGGAAUUCCCGGUGUAGCAGUGAAAUGCGUAGAUAUCGGGAGGAACAUCCGUGGCGAAGGCGGCCACCUGGACCAGCACUGACACUGAGGCACGAAAGCGUGGGGAGCAAACAGGAUUAGAUACCCUGGUAGUCCACGCCCUAAACGAUGCGAACUGGAUGUUGGGAGCAACUAGGCUCUCAGUAUCGAAGCUAACGCGUUAAGUUCGCCGCCUGGGAAGUACGGUCGCAAGACUGAAACUCAAAUGAAUUGACGGGGUCAUAGCUGUUUCC